RNAcentral lists this ribosomal RNA (405 nucleotides) under uncultured bacterium. RNAcentral describes it as "bacterial SSU rRNA". It matches the Rfam family "Bacterial small subunit ribosomal RNA", at positions 355 to 776 of the family's 1533-position model. The record is from RNAcentral.
UGAGGAAUAUUGCGCAAUGGGGGAAACCCUGACGCAGCGACGUCGCGUGGGUGAGGAAGUCCUUCGGGAUGUAAAGCCCUUUUGUUGGGGACGAGAGUGGACGGUACCCAACGAAUAAGCCCCGGCUAACUACGUGCCAGCAGCCGCGGUAAUACGUAGGGGGCAAGCGUUAUCCGGAUUUACUGGGCGUAAAGCGCGCGUAGGCGGAAGUUUAAGUCUGGCCUGAAAGCCCCCGGCUCAACCGGGGAGAGUGGCUGGAAACUGGGCUUCUGGAGGGCGUUAGAGGAGAGUGGAAUUCCUGGUGUAGCGGUGAAAUGCGUAGAUAUCAGGAGGAACACCGAUGGCGAAGGCAGCUCUCUGGGGCGGCCCUGACGCUGAGGCGCGAAAGCGUGGGGAGCGAACGGG